GCCUGGCCAUCCACGAGGGCAUGCGGGCGCCGCCGGCGUUCCUCAUCGAGCUGCCCAUGUUAGCGGCCGCGCUGCACAGGUAGAUGGGCGCGGGGACCGUGAACUGGCACUCGAGAGCGACACCCGCAGCGCCAUUGUUGUGCGGUGGAGCUGCUGCUUCCUGUUCGAGAGGUAAGAGAGAGGGUGAGGAGAGGUAGUACACCGGUGGUAGAAGGGGGUGAGGGAGGAGGUAGCUCACCGGCGGUGGGAGCCAAUCUUAAGAUACAGAAAAAAAAUUCAUGCAGCCAUGAUGGGCCACGAUCCAAGCCGCCCCAGAAUCCUUGAGUCACCGGCAAACAAGCAGGCAAGCAGCACCACCAGACCGCCUCCUUCCGCCACAGGCCCCGCAACCGCCGUCGCCACCAGCCAAGGGGGGUCCCGGCAGGUGGCGGAGCAUUG
RNAcentral lists this long non-coding RNA (438 nucleotides) under Triticum aestivum (bread wheat). Its description in RNAcentral is "long non-coding RNA (TAES_LNC015537)". Lineage: Eukaryota; Viridiplantae; Streptophyta; Magnoliopsida; Poales; Poaceae. The record is from RNAcentral.